GGAGUGGCCUGGACGGUCGCGUCGGGUGCUUGCACCCGCCGAGGAAAGUCCGGGCUGCACAGGGCAAGGCGCCGGUUAACGGCCGGUGAGGGUGACCUCGAGGAAAGUGCCACAGAAAACAGACCGCCUUCUGCCUCUUCGGGGGCCGUCGGUAAGGGUGAAAAGGUGCGGUAAGAGCGCACCGCCCGAGCUGGUAACAGAUCGGGGCACGGUAAACCCCGCCUGCAGCAAGGCCAAAUAGGAGAGCGCUAAGCGUGGCCCACGUUUGCUCUCGGGUAGGCUGCUCGAGCCUGCCGGUAACGGCAGGCCUAGAUGAAUGACCGUCUCCUCCCUCGGGAGAGACAGAACCCGGCUUACAGGGCCACUCCGUAU
RNAcentral lists this RNase P RNA (372 nucleotides) under Mariprofundus aestuarium. RNAcentral's name for it is "Bacterial RNase P class A". It matches the Rfam family "Bacterial RNase P class A". Rfam says of the family: Ribonuclease P (RNase P) is a ubiquitous endoribonuclease, found in archaea, bacteria and eukarya as well as chloroplasts and mitochondria. The record is from RNAcentral. Lineage: Bacteria; Pseudomonadati; Pseudomonadota; Candidatius Mariprofundia; Mariprofundales; Mariprofundaceae.